Molecule: ribosomal RNA, 1179 nt
Filed under: 'Celtis kunmingensis' plexus bud phytoplasma
Lineage: Bacteria; Bacillati; Mycoplasmatota; Mollicutes; Acholeplasmatales; Acholeplasmataceae
Description: bacterial SSU rRNA
Rfam family: Bacterial small subunit ribosomal RNA
Source: RNAcentral
GAGAGAUCUUCUUGUUUUAAGACCUAGCAAUAGGUAUGCUUAGGGAGGAGCUUGCGUCACAUUAGUUAGUUGGUGGGGUAAAGGCCUACCAAGACUAUGAUGUGUAGCCGGGCUGAGAGGUUGAACGGCCACAUUGGGACUGAGACACGGCCCAAACUCCUACGGGAGGCAGCAGUAGGGAAUUUUCGGCAAUGGAGGAAACUCUGACCGAGCAACGCCCCGUGAACGAUGAAGUAUUUCGGUACGUAAAGUUCUUUUAUUAGGGAAGAAUAAAUGAUGGAAAAAUCAUUCUGACGGUACCUAAUGAAUAAGCCCCGGCUAACUAUGUGCCAGCAGCCGCGGUAAUACAUAGGGGGCAAGCGUUAUCCGGAAUUAUUGGGCGUAAAGGGUGCGUAGGCGGUUAAAUAAGUUUAUGGUCUAAGUGCAAUGCUCAACAUUGUGAUGCUAUAAAAACUGUUUAGCUAGAGUAAGAUAGAGGCAAGUGGAAUUCCAUGUGUAGUGGUAAAAUGCGUAAAUAUAUGGAGGAACACCAGUAGCGAAGGCGGCUUGCUGGGUCUUUACUGACGCUGAGGCACGAAAGCGUGGGGAGCAAACAGGAUUAGAUACCCUGGUAGUCCACGCCGUAAACGAUGAGUACUAAACGUUGGGUAAAACCAGUGUUGAAGUUAACACAUUAAGUACUCCGCCUGAGUAGUACGUACGCAAGUAUGAAACUUAAAGGAAUUGACGGGACUCCGCACAAGCGGUGGAUCAUGUUGUUUAAUUCGAAGGUACCCGAAAAACCUCACCAGGUCUUGACAUGCUUCUGCAAAGCUGUAGAAACACAGUGGAGGUUAUCAGUUGCACAGGUGGGGCAUGGUUGUCGUCACCUCCGGUCCUGAGAUGUUGGGUUAAGUCCCGCAACGAGCGCAACCCUUAUUGUUAGUUACCAGCACGUAAUGGUGGGGACUUUAGCAAGACUGCCAGUGAUAAAUUGGAGGAAGGUGGGGACGACGUCAAAUCAUCAUGCCCCUUAUGACCUGGGCUACAAACGUGAUACAAUGGCUGUUACAAAGGGUAGCUGAAGCGCAAGUUUUUGGCGAAUCUCAAAAAAACAGUCUCAGUUCGGAUUGAAGUCUGCAACUCGACUUCAUGAAGUUGGAAUCGCUAGUAAUCGCGAAUCAGCAGUCGCGGAUCGCC